Molecule: ribosomal RNA, 339 nt
Filed under: Triticum aestivum (bread wheat)
Lineage: Eukaryota; Viridiplantae; Streptophyta; Magnoliopsida; Poales; Poaceae
Description: partial small subunit ribosomal RNA
Source: RNAcentral
AUGGGAUCAGUGCCAGCCGAAAAUUCUAGAGCAUGCCCCCAAAUGCAAAUGGACCAUCUCGUAACGCCCAGUGUUGGAUGCUUCCGGGGUCUUGACUACAUAGUCGAUUUCGUGGCAAAGCAACUGAGUUGGGCACCUGCUCUAGAAGAAGUGAAGAUAGAAUGGAAGGGCGAAACAGACAGCAGCAUGGUUCUUGCCAUGCUAUUAGCUCUGCCGAGGUCAUUGUUACAUUUUGAUUCCUUUAACAAAAAAAUGUUACAUUUUGAUAAGCAUGCUGCCCCAUCACUUUGCCUAUGUAAUUUGCUGCUGAGUUCAUGUGAAUGUACCACCUACGACUAG